RNAcentral lists this ribosomal RNA (717 nucleotides) under uncultured bacterium. RNAcentral describes it as "bacterial SSU rRNA". It matches the Rfam family "Bacterial small subunit ribosomal RNA", at positions 28 to 776 of the family's 1533-position model. The record is from RNAcentral.
GAUGAACGCUGGCGGCGUGCCUAACACAUGCAAGUCGAGCGAUCUUCUUCGGAAGAGAGCGGCGGACGGGUGAGUAACGCGUGGGUAACCUGCCCUGUACACACGGAUAACAUACCGAAAGGUAUGCUAAUACGGGAUGAUAUAUGAAAGUCGCAUGGCUUUUAUAUCAAAGCUCCGGCGGUACAGGAUGGACCCGCGUCUGAUUAGCUAGUUGGUAAGGUAACGGCUUACCAAGGCGACGAUCAGUAGCCGACCUGAGAGGGUGAUCGGCCACACUGGAACUGAGACACGGUCCAGACUCCUACGGGAGGCAGCAGUGGGGAAUAUUGCACAAUGGGCGAAAGCCUGAUGCAGCAACGCCGCGUGAGCGAUGAAGGCCUUCGGGUCGUAAAGCUCUGUCCUCAAGGAAGAUAAUGACGGUACUUGAGGAGGAAGCCCCGGCUAACUACGUGCCAGCAGCCGCGGUAAUACGUAGGGGGCUAGCGUUAUCCGGAAUUACUGGGCGUAAAGGGUGCGUAGGCGGUCUUUCAAGCCAGAAGUGAAAGGCUACGGCUCAACCGUAGUAAGCUUUUGGAACUGUAGGACUUGAGUGCAGGAGAGGAGAGUAGAAUUCCUAGUGUAGCGGUGAAAUGCGUAGAUAUUAGAGGAAUACCAGUAGCGAAGCGGCUCUCUGGACUGUAACUGACGCUGAGCACGAAAGCGUGGGGAGCAAACAGG